UAAGGGAAUCUUCGGCAAAUGGGACGGAAGUCUGACCGAGCAACGCCGCGUGAGUGAAGAAGGUUUCCGGAUCGUAAAGCUCUGUUGUAAGAGAAGAACGAGUGUGAGAGUGGAAAGUUCACACUGUGACGGUAUCUUACCAGAAAGGGACGGCUAACUACGUGCCAGCAGCCGCGGUAAUUACGUAGGUCCCGAGCGUUGUCCGGAUUUAUUGGGCGUAAAGCGAGCGCAGGCGGUUAGAUAAGUCUGAAGUUAAAGGCUGUGGCUUAACCAUAGUACGCUUNGGAAACUGUUUAACUUGAGUGCAAGAGGGGAGAGUGGAAUUCCANNUUAGCGGUGAAAUGCGUAGAUAUAUGGAGGAACACCGGUGGCGAAAGCGGCUCUCUGGCUUGUAACUGNCGCUGAGGCUCGAAAGCGUGGGGAGCAAACAGGAUUAGAUACCCUGGUAGUCCACGCCGUAAACGAUGAGUGCUAGGUGUUAGACCCUUUCCGGGGUUUAGUGCCGUAGCUAACGCAUUAAAGCACUCCGCCUGGGGAGUACGACCGCAAAGGUUGAA
Molecule: ribosomal RNA, 557 nt
Filed under: uncultured bacterium
Lineage: Bacteria
Description: bacterial SSU rRNA
Rfam family: Bacterial small subunit ribosomal RNA
Source: RNAcentral